Molecule: long non-coding RNA, 394 nt
Organism: Anneissia japonica
Lineage: Eukaryota; Metazoa; Echinodermata; Crinoidea; Comatulida; Comatulidae
Exons: 3
Source: RefSeq, a predicted model, not a curated record
CGACGAGUUACUUGGAACGGUAUGACGUUAUUGCCAGGCAUAUGCGCAUGCGUAAUUAUAUUUAUAAUGCUUGGGUUUCGUCGAGUUCAUUCGUAGAGGACGUGAAAUCAGCCGGGAAUCCGUCGUCACAGACAUACACUUCUGACCAAUCACAGUACGUCAAUUGGCUGUCGAUCAUGUCAACACCAGGUCAACACUAGAUUCGUUUUCAAGAUAAUCGCGAGCUUGAAUGCUGGGCUCUGUUGUUCACCAAGAAAAUAUGGCUAGAAAAUUAUUAUUAACGUUCAAUAGUACUCUACCCACAACAACUGCAAGUUCCGGAAUCAACUCUAUCCAACAGCUUUUUGCAUAUGGACAACAAACACCAGGAGCAAUACCCAUCGUUGUAGGUUUU